GUGCUAGAUGAAGCAACAGCAUCAGUUGAUACAGCUACAGACAAUCUUAUUCAGAAGAUUAUUCGUACGGAGUUUAAGGAUUGCACAGUUUGCACAAUUGCACAUCGCAUUCCAACUGUUAUCGACAGUGAUCUUGUUUUGGUACUCAGUGAUGGUCGAGUUGCAGAGUUUGAUACUCCAGUACGGUUGUUAGAGGAUAAAUCAUCCAUGUUUCUAAAGCUGGUAACAGAGUAUUCAUCAAGGUCAAGUGGCAUACCGGACUUCUGAAUUAGAUGGCAUGGCCAAAAAUCCUUCAGGUUGGGGGCAGCAAGAGCAGACUGACAGCCACAAAGUGAAGCGGCCACUGCUGCAUUUGCAAACAGGAAGAGAAAAUGCUGCAGCAUCAGUCCUUGCACCAAAUCCCUAUUGGUGAACGUAAUCUCGGGUUGAGGGUGUUCAUCACUUAGAGCAGAAUGGGAGAAUUCAGGCGCAGUUGGCAUACUUUGAAAAGUAAAUAAGUUGGUGGGGUAAGGGUUUGGUAAUAAUUACACUGUAGGAGAAAAAUGGAGGGGUCUAUAUCUGUUCAAUGAUGUGCAAUAAACUAGUGUUUAGGUAAAGCAGGAUUUUGUUUUUGGCUUAAGAAAUUUGUAGAGCUGAACUAGUCAAAUGUCAAUCCCACUUUAUUCUAGUGGCAUAAUU
Molecule: unclassified non-coding RNA, 678 nt
Filed under: Hevea brasiliensis (rubber tree)
Lineage: Eukaryota; Viridiplantae; Streptophyta; Magnoliopsida; Malpighiales; Euphorbiaceae
Source: RNAcentral